This is a non-coding RNA of Zootermopsis nevadensis, 324 nucleotides long. The record is from RefSeq and is a predicted model, not a curated record. NCBI's taxonomy places the organism in Eukaryota, Metazoa, Arthropoda, Insecta, Blattodea, Termopsidae.
UGUAUUAUAUCAGGCAGUCACAGAAGUGCUAUUGUAUCAUUCAGAAUUUGGUCUUGUGGCGUCAGCCUACUGGGAAGUUCAUAAGGACUAGAAUCUAACAUUGUAAUAUUCUUCCUUCAGAUUCAAGCUAUGGAACCAAGUACUACAAUUGAAGAACGCAUCAAAGACCUCAAGACAGAGAUAUGUACAAGUUACAUGCAACAGAAAACCAUUCCCUAAGCAUUAAGCUGACCCAGAAGAACCUGACUCAUUUGUUCCCAUCAGUUCACUGGCAUGUUAAAAUAUAAUUACUUGGUGAAUAAAUGACAAUUUCACGUGCAGUCA